This is a non-coding RNA of Trametes maxima, 100 nucleotides long. The record is from the annotation of a GenBank genome assembly. Lineage: Eukaryota; Fungi; Basidiomycota; Agaricomycetes; Polyporales; Polyporaceae.
UCCCGCUUAGCUCAGUUGGUAGAGCGCGUCACUAGUAUACUCCGACUAAAGCGGUCGGUUGCUUAUGACGAGGCCAGUCGUUCGAGUCGGCUAGUGGGAA